RNAcentral lists this ribosomal RNA (497 nucleotides) under uncultured bacterium. Its description in RNAcentral is "partial 16S ribosomal RNA". It matches the Rfam family "Bacterial small subunit ribosomal RNA", at positions 28 to 507 of the family's 1533-position model. The record is from RNAcentral.
GAUGAACGCUGGCGGCGUGCCUAAUACAUGCAAGUCGAGCGAACAGACGAGGAGCUUGCUCCUCUGACGUUAGCGGCGGACGGGUGAGUAACACGUGGAUAACCUACCUAUAAGACUGGGAUAACUUCGGGAAACCGGAGCUAAUACCGGAUAAUAUAUUGAACCGCAUGGUUCAAUAGUGAAAGACGGUUUUGCUGUCACUUAUAGAUGGAUCCGCGCCGCAUUAGCUAGUUGGUAAGGUCACGGCUUACCAAGGCAACGAUGCGUAGCCGACCGGGGAGGGUGGUCGGCCACACUGGAACUGGACCACGGACCAGACUCCUACGGGAGGCAGCAGAAGGGAAUCUUCGGCAAUGGGCGAAAGCCUGACGGAGCAAGGGCGCGUGAGUGAUGAAGGUCUUCGGAUCGUAAAACUCUGUUAUGAGGGAAGAACAAAUGUGUAAGUAACUAUGCACGUCGUGACGGUACCUAAUCAGAAAGCCACGGCUAACUACGUG